This 477-nucleotide ribosomal RNA is filed under the name uncultured bacterium. Its description in RNAcentral is "partial 16S ribosomal RNA". It matches the Rfam family "Bacterial small subunit ribosomal RNA", at positions 28 to 507 of the family's 1533-position model. The record is from RNAcentral.
GACGAACGCUGGCGGCGUGCUUAACACAUGCAAGUCGAACGGUGAAGCGCCUUCCUUUUUGGUGGGUGUGGAUGAGUGGCGAACGGGUGAGUAACACGUGAGUAACCUGCCCCCUUCUUCUGGAUAACCGCAUGAAAGUGUGGCUAAUACGGGAUAUUCUGGUGCUGUCGCAUGGUGGGUCUGGGUAAGAUAUUGUUUCGGUGGGGGAUGGGCGCGCGGCGUAUGAGCUUGUUGGUGGGGUGGUAGCCUAACACGGCGGUGACGGGUGGCCGGUCUGACUGGGACUGAGACCCCGCCGAGACUGAUACGAGAGCCAGCCGUGGGGAAGAUGGCACAAUGGGGGAAAGUCUGAUGCAGGGACGCGGCGUGAGGGAUGGAGCCCUUCGGGUUGUGAACCUCUUUCGCCAGUGAAGCAGGCCUGCCUCGGUUGUGGGUGGGUUGACGGUAGCUGGAUAAGAAGCGCCGGCUAACUACGUG